GGGGCACCGGGGUCUGCUUUCCGACUCCCUUCCGACUCCGCGCCUGCGCAGGAAGCGAUUUGGGGAGUGUUGUGAAUUCCGAGGGCUCCACACUUAAGAGGUUGUACACUCACCUGUCUACCUGGACUCCAAUUUCCAUAUUUCCAGCCACUUGAGGACUGAGAGGUGGAUGAUAAACCCUGUCAUAGUGGAGCAAGUUCAGGUGUUUAACCGCUGUUAUGGGGGAUCUGCCUUUUCUCCCUCUUCUUUCUUACUUCCAUAAGUAUGUAUGUGCAGAGAUUGAAAAAUAACCUUGAGAGAGUCCAUCCAUCUAACUCCAGGGAGUCGUGCUCUGUCACCCAGGCUGGAGUGUAGUGGCGCGAUCUCUGCUCUGCUCAUUGCAACCUCUGCCUCCCUGGUUCAAGCAAUUCUUCUGCCUCAGCCUCCCAAGUAGCUUGGAUUACAGGCGCCCGCCACCACACCCAGCUAAUUUUUGUAUUUUUAGUAGAGACGGGGUUUCACCGUGUUGGCCAAGCUGGUCUCGAACUCCUGACCUCGUGAUCCGCCCACCUUGUCCUCCCAAAGUGCUGGGAUUACAGGCGUGAGCCACCGCGCCCGGCCAAUAAGCUUUUUUCUUAAAAAGUACUCAGAAGACUUUUCUAUCCAUUCAUUCUGUUAACGCGCGUCAGUGUGAAGAGACCACCAAACAGGCUUUGG
RNAcentral lists this long non-coding RNA (696 nucleotides) under Homo sapiens (human). Its description in RNAcentral is "non-protein coding lnc-NBN-1:3". Lineage: Eukaryota; Metazoa; Chordata; Mammalia; Primates; Hominidae. The record is from RNAcentral.